Molecule: ribosomal RNA, 497 nt
Filed under: uncultured bacterium
Lineage: Bacteria
Description: partial 16S ribosomal RNA
Rfam family: Bacterial small subunit ribosomal RNA
Source: RNAcentral
GACGAACGCUGGCGGCGUGCCUAAUACAUGCAAGUAGAACGCUGAAGCUUGGUGCUUGCACCGAGCGGAUGAGUUGCGAACGGGUGAGUAACGCGUAGGUAACCUGCCUGGUAGCGGGGGAUAACUAUUGGAAACGAUAGCUAAUACCGCAUAAGAGUAGAUGUUGCAUGACAUUUGCUUAAAAGGUGCAAUUGCAUCACUACCAGAUGGACCUGCGUUGUAUUAGCUAGUUGGUGAGGUCACGGCUCACCAAGGCCACGAUACAUAGCCGACCUGAGAGGGUGAUCGGCCACGCUGGGACUGAGACACGGCCCAGACUCCUACGGGAGGCAGCAGUAGGGAAUCUUCGGCAAUGGACGGAAGUCUGACCGAGCAACGCCGCGGGAGUGAAGAAGGUUUUCGGAUCGUAAAGCUCUGUUGUAAGAGAAGAACGAGUGUGAGAGUGGAAAGUUCACACUGUGACGGUAUCUUACCAGAAAGGGACGGCUAACUACGUG